GAUCACGUUACGUUGAAACGCCGGCUCCCGUACGAUUACAGAAGUUAAGCAAUGUCGAGCCUGGUUAUUAUCUAGAUGGGUGACAGUUUGGGAAUGCGAGAUGC
Molecule: non-coding RNA, 104 nt
Organism: Acanthosepion pharaonis
Lineage: Eukaryota; Metazoa; Mollusca; Cephalopoda; Sepiida; Sepiidae
Source: the annotation of a GenBank genome assembly